AGAUGGCAAGUAGCACAUGAAAAGAUGUUCAUUAGUCAUUGGGGAGAUGCAAAUUAAAAAUCACAGUGAGCUAUCACUACCCACCUAUCAGAAUGAUUAAAGUAAGAAACAGUAGUAACACUAAAUGCUGGUGAGGCUGUGGACAAACUGGAUCACUCAUGCGUUGCUGGUGGAAAAGUGAAACCAGCUACUCUGGAAAACAGUAUGGCAGUUUCUUUUCUUCUCUUUUUUUCUUUUCUUUUCCCUUCCUCCCUCCCUCCCUCCCUUCCUUCCUUCCCUCCCUCUCUCUUUCCUUUCCCUUCCUUCCUUCUUCUUUCCUUUUUUUUGUUUGUUUUUGUUUUUUUGAGACAGGGUCUGGCUCUGUUGCCCAAGCUGGAGUGCAGUGGCGUGAUCAUAGCUGACUUCAACCUCCGCCUCACAGGCUCAAGGGAUCCUCCCACUGUAGCCUCCCAAUUAGCUGGGACUGCAGGCACACAUCACCAUGUCUGGCUUUUUCUUUUUUCUUUUUUUGGAGAUGGGGUUUCGCCAUGUUGCCCUGGCUGGUCUUGAAUUCCUGGGCUCAAGUCAUCCUUCUGCCUUGUUCUCCCAAAGUGCUGGGAUUACAGAUGGGAGCCAUCAUGCACCCAGCCUUGACAGUUUCUUCUAAAACUAAGCAUGGACUUACCAUGGGACCCAGUGGUUGUGUUCCUAAGCAUUUACCCAGAGAAAUGAAAAUAAAAACCUGUACAUGAACACACAGAGUAGCUUUAUUUGUAAGAACCUGAAACUGGAAACAACCCAAGUGUCCUUCAACAGGCGAAUGUUUAAACACACUAUGUUACAUCCAUACUAUAGAAUAUUAAUACUAUUCAGCAAUAAAAAGGAAUAAACUCUCGAUACAUGUCAAAACCUUGGAUAGAUCUCAAAGGGAUUGUGCUGAAUGAAAACAAUCAAAUCUGAUUCCAUUUAUGUAGCAUUUUUGAAAUGACAAGACAUAAAGAUCAGAUUAGUGACUGCCAAGGGUUAGGGAAGUACAGGGAGGGAGGGAGGUAGCUGUGGCUAUAAAAGGGUAGCAUGAGAAAUCUUUACACUGAAAAUGUUUUGUAUCUUGGCUGUGGUGGUGGUCAUCAGCAUACAUGUGAUAAAAUUAUAUAGAACUAAAUACAGACACACAAUAAGCAUGUGUUAAACUGGUGAACUCUGAAUAAGGUUGAUGGAUUGUAUCAAUGUCAAUUUCUUGAUUUUUGUCCUAUAGUGUGUUAUUGUCCUAUAGUUAUGCAAGAGGUUACCACUGGGGAAAGUAUGUGAAGAGUAUAUGGAAUCUCUGUAUUAUAGCUUACAAAAUGGAUAUAUAAAAAAUUAGAGAGUAGGAAUGGGAAUGAGAAAGGGAGGACUCUUCACUUUUUACUUGAUACCUUGCUUUUACUGUUUUUACCACAUACGUGCAUUAUUUUUUUAAAUUACCAUGUGUGUUUGGCUCUGCAAAAAAAAAAAAUCAUUUCUGGAAACUUCACCUAAGAAAAUACAUAUACAAUAAGAUUGUUUUGGAAACAUACAGCUAGUUGUUAACCUUGGAAUUUGAAUUACAAUGCAAGAAAGUAGUUCAGUAUUGAAUCUGAGUAUUGGCACAAUUGCAAAUUUCCUAUUACAAUUAUUGAUCAGAAGGGAAGAGGGAGUUCAGAAAUUACAAUCUGGAUCAUGAGUGUAAGCAUUAGUCUAGAAAUUAUCUAGUUCCUCCAGAGAAGAUUAAAGUCAGCCACUGGAUUCAGAAAAUAGGAUGAUAAAGUCUUCAAAGAAAGACUGGGUAGAGCCAGGAAAUAUGCAUCUACAAUAAAACAUUAUCCCACUUAAGCCUGGGAAAAGAUUCAGGAUUAAUUUAAGUAGUUAAUACAUUUAGAAAUCAAUGGGCAAGAUGCACAGUUGUACUGCAAUGUGAAUCUACAAUUUUUUUUUUUUGAGAUGGAAUCUCACUCUGUCGCCCAGGCUGGAGUGCAGUGACCCGAUCUCGGCUCACUGCAACCUCCGCCUCCCAGGUUCAAGCGAUUCUCCCGCAUAAGCCUCCUGAGUACCUGGGAUUGCAGGUGUGCACCAUCACACACAGCUUAAUUUUUGUAUUUUUAGUAGAGAUGGGGUUUCACCAUGAUGGUCAGGCUGGUCUCAAACUGCUGACCUCAAGUGAUCCACCUGCCUCAGUCUCCCAAAGUGCUGGGAUUACAGGCAUGAGCCACUGCGCCCGGCCAAAUUUUUUAUUUUUCAUUUUUAUUAUUUUGUGUAUCAGAAUACAUUUUAAAAAAUCAAAAAUUGUAAAAGUAUACAAAUAAAAUGGAAAGAU
Molecule: long non-coding RNA, 2311 nt
Filed under: Homo sapiens (human)
Lineage: Eukaryota; Metazoa; Chordata; Mammalia; Primates; Hominidae
Description: HSALNT0130099
Source: RNAcentral